AAUCUAGCAUCCCUGUUAGCAGGCAAAGGCAGUAGGCCAGUUGUGGCAACUCCUAAUGAGUUUGGCCCAUCUCAGGGGUACUUUGUUUUUCAUACGCACCUUCCAACUACCAAAAAAUAUAUGCCUGUAUCCUAAGAAUAGAAAGUCAGGUACUAUAGCAGAUAAAGAGGAAUGAUAUUGGGGGUGGGCUCCUUUCCAGUAUCCUUCACUUCUCACAUGUGAAGGGGCUCUUGAUUGAGGCAUUUCCUGUUUAUGUUGGAGGAUUGAGCCUCAGGGGCAUGGAUGGGAUAUCCACAAAGAGCAGCUCUAUUCUGGCUGAUCCCAAGCUCAUUCAGGGUGACUCUCAAGGACUCUCUAAUACUGGAUGAAGAGCAGUGGUCCCCAACCUUCUUGGCACCUGGGUUUUGUGGGAGACAAUUUUUCCACAGACUGAGGCAAGAGGAUGGUUUUGGGAUGAUUCGAGUGCAUUACAUUUAUUGUGCACUUUAUUUCUAUUAUUAUUACAUUGUAAUAUAUAUUGAAAUAAUUAUACAACUCAUCAUAAUGUAGAGUCAAUGGGAGCCCUGAGCUUGCUUUUCUGCAACUAGAGAGUCCCAUCUGGGAGUGAUGGGAGACAGUGGCAGAUGAUCAGGCAUUAAAUUCUCAUGUGGGGUGCACAACCCAGAUUCCUCGCAUGCACAGUUCACAAUAGGAUUUGCGCUCCUAUGAGAAUCUAAUGCCACCUCUGAUCUGACAGGAGGCAGAGCUCAGGUGGUAAUGCAAGCAAUGGGGAGUGGCUGUAAAUACAGAUGAAGCUUCACUCACUUGCCCUCUGCGCAUCUCCUGCUGUGCAGCCUAGUUCCUAACAUGUCACAGACUGAGGUAGAGGACGCUUUAGAGAUAUUCCUACCUUCUCUGUCUUUUUUUUUUUUUUUUUUUGAGACAGAGCCUUGCUCUGUCACCCAGGCUGGAGUGCAGUGGCACAAUCUCAGCACACUGCAACCUCCGCCUUCCAGGUUUAAACAAUUCUUGUCCCUCAGCCUCCUGAAUAGCUGGACUACAGGUGUGUGCCACCACAUGCAGCUAAUUUUUUUUUUCUGCUUUGUGUUUUUUUUUAGUGGAGUUGGGGUUUCAUCAUGUUUCCCAGGCUGGUCUCAAACUUCUAAGCUCAGACAAUCUGCCUGCCUUGGCCUCCCGAAGUGUUGGAAUUACAGGUGUGAGCCACUGCACCCAGUACCCCUACAUUCUCUUUUUUAUAGAUGGGGAAACUGAGGCCCAGAGAGGGCAAGAUGUGCAUGCUCUGUCUGUUGUUUUGAUGAUGACUAUGUUAGGACAGAGGUCUACAGUUCCUUGAGGUGAUAAACAGCCUAUGAGCUAAGCGCUCUGUGGAUUAUUUACUCUUCACAACAGUUCUGUAAGACUGGACCGUAACAGUUCUAUAAAUAUGGACUAUUACUGUCCAUAUUUAAUAGACAAGGAAACUGAGAUUCAGAGAGGCAUAAUUUACAGAGGUGGUAAGUGGUGGAGCUGGGUUCAAAUCUAGGCCUGUUUAAAGAUCCCCCACACUGUGGGAAGAAUUCAGGCAUCAGAUAGAGAUCCCUCUAACAUCUCCAUUCUGUGAAUAACUGAGGCUGGGAUUCACAUAAGCCUCCAACCCCUGGGGUCCGUCUCCCAUGCCUCACCCAAGCGCACACAGGCCAGGCAGAUCCAGUAGGCUUCAGGUGUUGGGGGCAAGAUUAUCAUCAGCCGGUCUCCAUGGCUAAGGGCACAGGUGUCUGAGAGGAUGCUGGCGGCCUUCUUGGAGAGUUGAGUCAUCCUUUCAAAGCUCCAUUUGUCCUCUUCUCCUUUGGCACUAACCUUCCAGAGGGCGGGGUAAGGCCCUCUGAGUCCGUCCUAGGCAGGGUGAUGUUUAAAAUAUGAAUAUUAGUCAGCAUGGACAUUGGCUAUGGGAGGCCACUGUUGCCAGACAGCACCCUCAAGUGGCUAGAUCUUGAGAGGCUAGGAUGCCUGGGCUUAGGGGGAGCUACUGUUUCUCAACUGGCACAGAAAUAUUUACUGUUUACUGACAUGGCAGUACUGGUAGGUUUCAACAUAAUGUCAGGCAUGAGCCUAGGGAAGAACCUCCUGAGAGAACUCAGCAUGUAACGUGAAACCAGCCCUGCCCAGGAUGGCAGAGAUUUCUCUGGGCAUAAAUCCCACUACUGGGUGUCUACCCAAAAGAAAAGAAAUCAUUAUAUAAAAAAGACACCUGCAUUCAUGUGUUUAUGGUAGCACUCUAUUCACAAUAGCAAAGUGAUGGAAUCAACCUAAGGGUCCAUCAGUGGAUGAUUGGAUAAAGACAAUGUGGUAUACAUACAACAUGGAAUAUUACUCAGCCAUGGAAAAGAAUGAAAUCCUGUCUUUUGCAGCAACAUGGAUGGAGCUGAAGGCCAUUAUCCUAUGGGAAAUAACUCAGAAACAGAAAAUCAAAUACUGCCUGUUUUCACUUAUAAGUGGGAGUUAAACAGUGGGUACAUAUGGACAUAAAGAUGGAAAUAAUAGACAUUGGGGAGGCUGGAGGGGAGUGAAGUUUGCAAAAUUACCUAUUUGGUACUAUGGUCACUGUUUGGGUGAUGAGUACACUAGAAGCUCAAGCCUCACCAUUGUGCCAUCUAUACAUGCAACAAACCUGCACAUGCACCUCCUGAGUCUAAAUUUUUUUAAGAAAAGAUUUCUCAGGGCAUGAUCCUGUAAGUAGAGAAGAGUGCCCUCCUCCUAGCGGAUAGGAUUCUAUUCCUGCCUUCAAAUAUACCUGUCUUCCAAUGCAACUUAUUUUUCAGUGGGACGAGUUUUGAAGGGGAAAGAAUUUAAUUUCCAAUACCUCUUAGUGAAUGCAUGGAUGAAGUUACCUAGAACUUUCAAAGCAUUUCCAUUCUAGCUGAGCCUUCUCCUCCUUAACAACACGGGUUUGUCCUCUUCUCUCCCUGAGGAUGGAGGGAAGGAAGGCUCUUUUCUCCCUUUUUUCCUUCUUUCCCUCCUUUAUUCCUUUUUUCCUCCUUUCUGUCCUCUCUCUCUCUCAUCUCUUUCCCCCAUCUCUCGCCUCUUUCCCCAUCCCUCCUUUCCUUCUCUCCUACCUUCUGAACUUAACUUCUUUCUUCCUUUACAACUUUCUUCCUCCUUUUAUCUCUUUCUCUUGCCUUUCUUCUCUUUUUCUCAUCCACCCUGGAGCAGCCCAUAGAAUUGCUACUUUGUUCUGACCUGUUUAGAGUCUUCUUCUUCUUCUCCUUCUCCUUCUCCUUCUUCUUCUUCUUUCUUCAUCUUCUUCUUCCUCUUCCUCUUCUUUCUUCUUCUUUUCAUCUUCUUCUUCUUCCUAUUCUUCCUCUUCCUCUUCUUCUUCUUUUCUUCUUCUUCAAGUUUUAGGGUACAUGUGUACAAUGUGCAGGUUUGUUACAUGUGUAUACAUGUGCCAUGUUGGUGUGCGGCACCCAUUAACUCGUCAUUCAGCAUUAGGUAUAUCACCCAAUGCUAUCCCUCCCCCCUCCCCCCACCCCACAACAGUCCCCAGAGUGUGAUGUUCCCCUUCCUGUGUCCAUGUGUGCUCAUUGUUCAAUUCCCACCUAUGAGUGAGAACAUGUGGUGUUUGGUUUUUUGUCCUUGCGAUAGUUUGCUGAGAAUGAUGGUUUCCAGCUUCAUCCAUGUCCCUACAAAGGACAUGAACUCAUCAUUUUUUAUGGCUGCAUAGUAUUCCAUGGUGUCUAUGUGCCACAUUUUCUAAAUCCAGUCUAUCAUUGUUGGACAUUUGGUUCCAAGUCUUUGCUAUUGUGAAUAGUGCCUCAAUAAACAUACAUGUGCAUGUGUCUUUAUAGCAGCAUGAUUUAUAAUCCUUUGGGUAUAUACCCAGUAAUGGGAUGGCUGGGUCAAAUAGUAUUUCUAGUUCUAGAUCCCUGAGGAACGGCCACACUGACUUCCACAAUGGCUGAACUAGUUUACAGUCCCACCAACAGUGUAAAAGUGUUCCUAUUUCUCCACAUCCUCUCCAGCACCUAUUGUUUCCUGACUUUUUAAUGAUCACCAUUCUAACUGCUGUGAGAUGGUAUCUCAUUGUGGUUUUGAUUUGCAUUUCUCUGAUGGCCG
RNAcentral lists this long non-coding RNA (4092 nucleotides) under Homo sapiens (human). RNAcentral's name for it is "HSALNT0359373". The record is from RNAcentral. Lineage: Eukaryota; Metazoa; Chordata; Mammalia; Primates; Hominidae.